Molecule: non-coding RNA, 661 nt
Organism: Labrus bergylta (ballan wrasse)
Lineage: Eukaryota; Metazoa; Chordata; Actinopteri; Labriformes; Labridae
Source: the annotation of a RefSeq genome assembly
AUGAUGGACUAUAGGACAGGACUGCUGCUUUUUACUGUCUGCUGGGCAGGUGUUAAAGCUCAGACUCUGACAGAAUCUGAAGCAGUGGUUAAAAGUCCUGGAGAAUCCCACAGACUGACCUGUUCAGCCUCUGGAUUCACAUUCAGCAGCCACCAUAUGAGCUGGGUCAGACAGGCUGCAGGAAAAGGACUGGAGUGGAUCGCCUGGAUUCAGAAUAAUAAUGACAACAAAUACUACUCUCAGUCAGUUACAGGCCGGUUCACCAUCUCCAGAGACAACAGCAGACAGCAGGUGUAUCUGCAGAUGAACAGUCUGAAGACUGAAGAUUCUGCUGUUUAUUAUUGUGCCAGAGAGCCACAGUGACACAGGAGGAAGUAACGCUGUACAAAAACAGUCAAAGUAGCAUUUCACAUUACAUCAGUAACCUCACUGACUGGGAUGUGUUAAGUAGCUGUACAGAAUCCUUUGCUAUUUAUGUCUAGUGGACCUAUGGAGCUUGUUCAAUUCAGAAUCAGGGAUAUAGUCCUUAACAUACAGACUCAGACCAAGAUGGAGUGACUGAUUCCAAAACCAAAAACUGAUUCGGCUACAAAGUAAUGAGAAAAUGAUAAACCUGAUGUAGGAGUUAUUACUCUCUCUACAAUAAAUGGAGUGGUUUACU